This 200-nucleotide ribosomal RNA is filed under the name uncultured bacterium. RNAcentral's name for it is "partial 16S ribosomal RNA". It matches the Rfam family "Bacterial small subunit ribosomal RNA", at positions 1300 to 1500 of the family's 1533-position model. The record is from RNAcentral.
GCAGGCUGCAACUCGCCUGCAUGAAGUCGGAAUUGCUAGUAAUCGCGGAUCAGCAUACUGCCGUGAAUACGUUCCCGGGCCUUGUACACACCGCCCGCCACACCAUGAGAGUUGGGAAUACCCGAAGCCUGUGAGCUAACUUUACGAGGCAGCAGUCGAAGGUAGAAUCAAUGAUUGGGGUGAAGUCGUAACAAGGUAUC